Molecule: ribosomal RNA, 5247 nt
Filed under: Triticum aestivum (bread wheat)
Lineage: Eukaryota; Viridiplantae; Streptophyta; Magnoliopsida; Poales; Poaceae
Description: partial small subunit ribosomal RNA
Source: RNAcentral
AAUGUGUGCGGAGGAGAGAAAAUUAAAUUAUUAUGUCUUAUGUUUUUAUAGACGAGGAAACCGGGCAGAAGAGGAGGAGGUAACAAGGAGGAGACGACGAGAGGUACGGGGAUCCGCCGCGAGGGUAAGUAUCGGCCGUUGGGCAGAAGAGGAGGCGACGAGAGGUACUGGAUCUGCCGCGAGGGUAAGUACCGGCCACUCGUCUUCGAAGUCGGAGGAAGCGCGGGGUUCUACCAACUACGUAGUAUACUCCUCCACAUCAUGCGUACUACCAAAGUUCUUUCCUCCGGGGCUAACCAUGAACUCCGGCAGUUCAACUCGUUAAUGCAACCUGACCACCGUGGAAUUGAAUGUUAGCUUCGGGAUGAGCUCAGUCAGAGGGCAAUAAGGACGGGGUGAGGUGACCAUUUAGCGGAACGUAACAAUUUAGGGACGAGGAGGUAGGCAAAUUAAGUAGUGACUUGGGGAUUAUUCAGCCGAAUUAGGUAGUGUAGAGUAGUUGUUGUUUUCCGGAAAAAGAUAUAGAUAGAAGUAGUGAAGAGAUGUAGUCUAAUAUGUAAACCCGCUCACCCACUCUUGGUCGAUCUUACACUAGAGCGGAUUUCACCGUGGUACGUCGUUCAAAGACAAUUUGAUGUAGGUGUAGUUGACGGUGACGGUUGGACGGUUAAAUGUAAUUGACAAAUGUGCCCUUCGAAAUGUGUACAGAAGGGCACGCUGGUAAACAAUCUGUUGUUUUUAUCAACUGCUAAGGAUACCUUACUUAAAGCUACAACAUACAAUAAAGAAGGCUCAUUUGCGAUUAACAAUCUAAUAGCGUACCAUCACCAUAUAUAUAGAUAGAAACCGUCUAGACGUCAUUCUAGUUUAACAACGGGUACGUUUUUAAUUCGAUCUACAUGCCGCAUGAACUCAAUAUAUCCAAGAUAAAUGUCGUGUAUGUACAUGGCACAAACUUUUCCCUAGGUUUAGAUACAAAAUAAUAAUAAUUUGUGGGUAUACUUUAAAGGGACGUUUACAUUGGUACCUUAGGUAUAAAGGAUCCAAGUAAGGACUAUUAUACUAUAAAAAAAAACCUCAAGGUCACAGAUCUAAAAUCUCUACGAUUGAAUAUGUUUUAUACAUAGUCACACGGGAUAAUCACUAAACGUAUAAAUCUCGCCCCUCCAUAUAUACAACUAUUACUAGGCUUAUAACAGUCGAUUUAUACAAAAAUGCUUUGAUUGUCUAAAUACACAAGGUAACACACGUCGUCUUACAGAUCACAUGUACGCACUGUGAUAUAGAUGAAAAGGUUUAUCAUUAGAUCUGAUCCUUGACAUUUUUGUUAUACACUCUUUUGAAUUAGUGAUGGUAUGAUAAAAAUUCAUCCAACGUUUAUCCUAUACAUCAGGAAUAUACUAAAAUUGAUGGAGGUUAAGCGCAGUAACUAGUGUAACAUUGAUAAGGACGAUGACGUCCAAACUGAACUUAAAACCGAAGACAUGCAUAUCACAACCAAGCGAACAGGUAUCGAAAGAUGGAGGGCCUUAGGUAGAAGGAUAACGGUGUAUUAAUGUAGUAAACAAAAACCCUUUAGUUACAUAGCUAUGUAACAAAGGGAGAAGUCACGUGUACGAGAACAUAAACAAAAACCUGACUAAGAAGCUAAAUAAAGUACCAUACGAACCUAUUGAUCUAAUAGAUUAAACUUAAAGAGGUCAGAAAACAUACAAGUGAACGUAUCUGCCGAAUUAGUCAAUUAGAUCUUGGAUUUGACUUCUAAUUUAUAUCGUGUAUAUGAACCAGUAAAGAGGAUUCUUCUAAUUAGGUGGAACUGAAAUUGAACUGAAGGUUUCUUCAAGACUUACUAGUUCGUAAAAAACCAAAAAAAUAAUUUGAUUUUAUUACAACGUGAGACUGUUAUUAUAAGUCUAAAAGAUUCAAUUGUCUUUAGAAAGUUAAAACAAUCCUAAUUAGUACAGAUCUGCUUGACUCUCUCAGUCAAUCAAACAAUCGACGUACGUACCUCAUCAAUAGAUCAACGGUCGACGUACGUGCAUGAUCAGAAACCUGGGAUCUCUCUAAGAUCCUCUUCUAUUCUAGUACCCAAUCACGUACAUCAAUCAACCAAUCACCUCGUUGAUCAGACCUCUGCACUACCGGCUCACACUACCGGCCGCACUCACGCAACCAGAACCGACUCACGGUUUGAAACAUAUUUAUCACUAGAGUAAGUCAUUACCCUUUUCCGGCACUCCCGACCUCUUUUUCUACAUCGUAUGCACACAGAGUGGCCCUCCUUCUCCGUUUCGAUCAAAGGAGACCACUCCAUGCGCACGCACACACACAACUCAGAAGAAAGAGAACACACACAAGAACUCUCUUCUUCUCUCUUUGUGUUCACUCUCAACACUCUCCUCACCUUCUUCUUCUUCGCCGUGGUGCUCCUCCGCCGCAGUUGUUAACCAUAGUACUCGAACCAACAGAACCCCGCAGUAACGAGAACGGCCGGCCUCCACACGGCUGCCACCGCCGCAGGCAGCCGCCGCGCGCUACUUCAAGGCCCAGAGCACAGCCGGAUACCUCCACGCGCUGUGGAGCCGCUCGCGCCGCCGCGACGUGCCACCGUACCUCCGACACCUCGAGGACGCACCGCCGCGCCACCUGAGGUACACUACGCCUCCAGCUGCUACGCUCCACCUCCAGUAGCCGCCGCACCAAGGCGACCACCGGGCAACGCCACACUAUGGCGAUCUAAGUCGGCUGCACUACUAGUCGCAGCUCCACAGCACGUGCAGUUCUCCACCAGUGACGCACGUCGUUCUGUCGCACCACUAGCCACAGCGCUUCCGCAGCAGGUGCAGUUCUCCUCCGGUGUCGCACUACGACGCCGCUGUUCCUCUGACGCCACGCUACGGCGCUCCUCCUCCGCCGCCACACUACGGCGGUGUUCUUCCUCUGCCACGCUACGGCGAACCACGCCGCCGCCGCGCUACGGCAGGCCGCGAUCGUCACCGUCACACUACGAUGGUGCUCUUCUGCUGCCACUCUACGGCAAGGUUCUUCUGCCGUCACUCUACGACGACUGUUCUACAUGCCGCCACACUUCGGCAGUACUCCUAGUUGUACUUCGACCAGCUGCCACCAGAUGCACCACCACACUACGGAAGCCGCUCUACCUAGCCGGCGCUACUGCCCCGCUACCACGACGCUUCCGUUUCAAGUACCGUUCUCCAACGUCCACUAGACGUAGUUCUAAUCUCCUCAACUGUACUGUUCUAAUCCCUCCACUUACAAUCCUAAUUAGUACAGAUCAGCUUGACUCUCUCAGUCAAUCAAACAAUCGACGUACGCACCUCAUCAAUAGAUCAACAGUCGACGUACGUGCAUGAUCAGAAACCUGGGAUCUCUCUAAGAUCCUCUUCUAUUCUAGUACCCAAUCAAGUACAUCAAUCAACCAAUCACCUCGUUGAUCAGACCUCUGCACUACCGGCUCACACUACCGGCCGCACUCACGCACCCAGAACCGACUCACGGUUUGAAACAUAUUUAUCAGUAGAGUAAGUCAUUACCUUUUUCCGGCACUUCUGACCUCUUUUUCUACAUCGUAUGCACACAUAGUGGCCCUCCUUCUCCGUUUCGAUCCAAGGAGACCACUCCAUACGCACGCACACACACAACUCAGAAGAAAGAGAACACACACAAGAACUCUCUUCUUCUCUCUUUGUGUUCACUCUCAACACUCUCCUCUCCUUCUUCUUCUUCGCCGUGGUGCUCCUCCGCCGCAGUUGUUUAAAGCAUGGUGAAAAAAAUAGCACGUAAACUUACUACCGCUAUAAUAGAUAAGAGGCUUAAGGCGAACGUACAAAGGUCAACUUUGUCAUUGACUUUAACUAUUCAUACGUUGCUAAAUACGGGAGGUCGUACUCAUUUUACAACACCCAAUGGUAAAGGCUAUUCAUUGGUGACAUAAUAAAAGAUACACAUAUUAACUGUACAUAUGUACAAUAGCGAGACGAACUUGGUAGGUAGAGGUGUAAUGCGGGCUCUGAAGGUAGCGUUAUUAGAUAUAUAUACGUCCAUCACAGGUUAUACAUAUGUGUUCGAGGAGAGUGUCCGGCUGAUGCAACUAACACUGACUCGCACACACACACCGGCACUACAUUCGAAAUAGAACCGGACUCAUAGUCAAGGGAAAAUACUAUGUUAAAACCUACGAUAAAAUAAGAUGUACAAAUCCAAAGAUGUCCAGGGUAACCGCCGAUGGAAAAUCACUAUGCCGUCGACUUACCGUACGAGUGGUCAUCAAGACAGUUUUGCUUUAGCUGACCUGACAUAAAAAAUACACACAAUGAUUCAUGUUCGACACUAAUAAAAGAAAGAUCCCUACCGUUUAAAGAUCCGUAAUUCGAAAAACUCUGCAAUUCCAGAGAGUAUUAAUUAAUCGGAAACAUUCCACAUAUGACUGUCAUUCGGGUAACGUCAUUAACCAACCUAUUAAGAAUGUACAAAAUAAGUUUACAGACCAAUUUAAUCACAGCCUACGGGGAAGUAGCUAAUGAAAAAACCUAUACUUAAUAAUGGUAUUCUUCAUGAGGGAGACAUUUCUUUAUAUUGUCACAAAUCUAAUGAUGAAAUCAAUAAAUUUGCGAGAAUAUAAAGAAAUACCUCCCUCAUAUAACCAAGAAGUCACAAAGUAAGAAUGUCAUGUGUUUAAUAUAACAAAAUGCAACCAGUAAAGAGUGAGACGUCAGACAUAGAAAACGAAGUAUUAAGUAUACAUGUGUUCUAACUACGGGUCUUCAAAGUAGGAAGGCACGAUUUACAGUAAGAAAAAACUGAACUAUUUGUGGUCCAUUGUACCUCAGAAGAGUAAACAUUACCGUAUCUAUAUCCUUGCUCGUUAAGUCGAAACGAUAUUCUUUCGCUGCCUGUUUUCUCUUGACCUAUAACAACAACUCUCGAUCGAGACCAGUGUACUAGUAGAUAGAUAUAUCAAAAGUUGUUUUCUCUUGACCUAUUAAAAAUGAUUCCCGAUCGAGACCGGCGUACCAGUAGGUACAUAUAUCAAAAGUUGUUAUUUGCACAGUACUAACCAUGUCGUAUUAAUCGUUAGAAUCAAAGAAGACUAGAGUAUUAAACUUCUACUUGGCUUCUCCCCUUACACAUGAUACAAACCUUAGACAGUGUGAUUUACACAUAAACACCAUAACUACAUGUCAAUAAUUCUUUCAAUGUAAAAGAUCGAUAACACGAUGACUCUCC